CAGUAGCCGCGGGAAUACAGAGGGUGCGAGCGUUAAUCGGAUUUACUGGGCGUAAAGCGUGCGUAGGCGGCUGAUUAAGUCGGAUGUGAAAUCCCUGAGCUUAACUUAGGAAUUGCAUUCGAUACUGGUCAGCUAGAGUAUGGGAGAGGAUGGUAGAAUUCCAGGUGUAGCGGUGAAAUGCGUUGAGAUCUGGAGGAAUACCGAUGGCGAAGGCAGCCAUCUGGCCUAAUACUGACGCUGAGGUACGAAAGCAUGGGGAGCAAACAGGAUUAGAGACCCCGGUAGUCCCUGUCUCUUAUAC
This 301-nucleotide ribosomal RNA is filed under the name uncultured bacterium. RNAcentral describes it as "partial 16S ribosomal RNA". It matches the Rfam family "Bacterial small subunit ribosomal RNA", at positions 509 to 807 of the family's 1533-position model. The record is from RNAcentral.